Molecule: non-coding RNA, 161 nt
Filed under: Legionellaceae bacterium
Lineage: Bacteria; Pseudomonadati; Pseudomonadota; Gammaproteobacteria; Legionellales; Legionellaceae
Also listed under: 1 other name
Description: 6S RNA
Rfam family: 6S / SsrS RNA
About the family: E. coli 6S RNA was the first non coding RNA to be sequenced, but its function was unknown until recently. It consists of 184 nucleotides that fold into an extended hairpin structure with a large single-stranded internal bulge.
Source: RNAcentral
AUUUAUCCGGCAGCAAAAGAUUUUAGAACCAACACUUCUAAAUCGGGAAGCAUCCUGACAUCAGCGUUGCGCAAGCCUACUUUAAAGUAGGAAGCCUGAACUGAUUCAUCCGCUACCCACUUGAACCUUAGGGUUCAAAGUCUUACGCUGUCGGAUCUUCU